AUGGCCAACUACAAGUCUUCUUCCCCUUCGUCAUCUUCAAGGCGGCGGCGCUCAAGUGGCCAAUCUUCGGAACAUCAUCGAGCUCAAGCACUACAACACCAUCAAGAUGAAGAUGCUCGCGAUACGUACACCUACAAGUCCCAAAAAGCUCUACAUCAAGCUACGGCCAAACGUCAUGAGCACAAGAGAAGACUGCGAGACAAGCACCACCAAGACGGAGCUACGACUACUACGACCACUUCGGCAUCUUCGCCAAGUGUCAUCAAGGCAUCUUUGCCUUUGGACGUAUGGCAUCUUCGCCUACCUCCGACGAGUACGCCUACUUCGGCCUUCCUCCACGGCGAUGGUGACGAGAUGAUCGAGCAUGGGAUUUUCCCUUCGGUCAUGGAGGAGAGCGAUGAUGUUCCAUCUUCGGUGUUCAUUCAUGGUGACGACGAAGAGAUGGUUGAGCAUGGGAUUUUCCCUUCGACCACGGCGACGUAUGAUGACUUGAGUGACUUGUGCCACCAUAUUGAGAGUGAGAGUGACUUCACCACUAGCCCCAUAUAUGACGACUUGCCCCAAUUCCCAUGUGAGGAGAGCCACCACCACCACCACUUGAGUGAUUUGAGUGACUCCACCAUAUGUGACAUUGAGUGCACCUACCUUGAGGGAGUGAGUGAGCCACCACCACAUAGAGAGAGUGAGGCCAUUUGCAUUGCUAACAACUUGACCUCUACCUCUAUUGUGUCUUCUCAUUUGGUGCUAGGUCCCAUAUAUGAUGAUGCACCGAUCCGCGACGACUUCAUUCUUCCUAUGGACAAGACGAUGGCCAUGGUGGAAUAUGAUGCACCCCCACAUGGUUCCAUCAAGAUGAAGAUGAUGACCACCAUUUGGUCUUUCCCACCUCACCUACACCACUUGAGUGGAACGAGAAAGGUAACAUAG
This 927-nucleotide ribosomal RNA is filed under the name Triticum aestivum (bread wheat). RNAcentral's name for it is "partial small subunit ribosomal RNA". Lineage: Eukaryota; Viridiplantae; Streptophyta; Magnoliopsida; Poales; Poaceae. The record is from RNAcentral.